AGAGUUUGAUCCUGGCUCAGAGUGAACGCUGGCGGCAGGCCUAACACAUGCAAGUCGAGCGGCAGCACAGCAGUAGCAAUACUGUGGAUGGCGAGCGGCGGACGGGUGAGGAAUACAUCGGAAUCUACCUUCUUGUGGGGGAUAACGUAGGGAAACUUACGCUAAUACCGCAUAAGACCUGAGGGUGAAAGCGGGGGACCGCAAGGCCUCGCGCGAGAAGAUGAGCCGAUGUCGGAUUAGCUAGUUGGUGAGGUAAAGGCUCACCAAGGCGACGAUCCGUAGCUGGUCUGAGAGGAUGAUCAGCCACACUGGAACUGAGACACGGUCCAGACUCCUACGGGAGGCAGCAGUGGGGAAUAUUGGACAAUGGGCGCAACCUGAUCCAGCCAUGCCGCGUGUGUGAAGAAGGCCUUCGGGUUGUAAAGCACUUUUGUUGGGGAAGAAAAGACCGUGGUUAAUAACCGUGGUUCAUGACGGUACCCAAAGAAUAAGCACCGGCUAACUUCGUGCCAGCAGCCGCGGUAAUACGAAGGGUGCAAGCGUUACUCGGAAUUACUGGGCGUAAAGCGUGCGUAGGCGGUUUGUUAAGUCUGUCGUGAAAGCCCCGGGCUCAACCUGGGAAUGGCGGUGGAUACUGGCAGGCUA
This 645-nucleotide ribosomal RNA is filed under the name uncultured Pseudomonadota bacterium. Its description in RNAcentral is "bacterial SSU rRNA". It matches the Rfam family "Bacterial small subunit ribosomal RNA", at positions 8 to 643 of the family's 1533-position model. The record is from RNAcentral. Lineage: Bacteria; Pseudomonadati; Pseudomonadota.